GUCAGCAAAAUUGUCAGCAAAAUUCCCUGAAGAAAUGCUUGCCAUUGAAAGACUCCAGUCCUGUGAUUGGAAAACCACCAUAAUACAUAGGAAGAUAACCCGGGGAUGUUUGGACUUACUUGUCAACAAGAAGGUGAAGCAGAAACUUCCCACUUCAUUUAAAACAAUUAAUUUGAAAGAAAAUAUAUAUCUGGUGACAGAAACUCUGGAGACAGAAGAGGAGGAAACCCUACCAAGAGAAAUGCGCUAUAAAAUUUGGAACUCAUUUCUUAAGGGCAAUGACUAUGAAGAAAAGAGCCAACGCAAAAUCACCGUCCCUGCCAACAUGAUCCUGGCCUAUUGAAAGAAGCAGCUCAUCUUCGAAAAUGGGUCAAUAUGGGGACACACCCUAAACAGAAUGUGAUUGGCUGAACUUCCCCAUCAAGCCCAGAGGUGGGAGAGGAAGAAGGCACUAGAGCCAGAUUGGCUCUGGCCACACUGACUGGCAAUGCACCCACCAUGACAUCAGCCUGCCCUGCAGGAUUGCAAUCCCAGUCUCCUAACAGAUUGGCGAUAGCUUCUCUUUCCUUUCCUUGGUUGGGAGCAGUGUGGGGACUGGGAGGGAGGGAAAGGAGGGCAUGAAUACAGAAACCACUACUUUCUUAUUCUUUCUUUUUUCUUUCUUUCCAACUCUUGGUGUUGGCUUAGUUAUUGACUUCUGGAAUGAAAGAAGGUCUUUUCAAGGAGAAACGGCUCUAGGAAGACAGGGAACUGCUGGAACUUUGAAGGAGCACGUAGAGAACACAGGGAGAAGCCUGCAGAACUGGAUGAGAAGCAGAAGAAUGGGCUGUGCUCUGCCACUGCGUGCACCAACAAGGAAGGUUUCUGACGUCUUGAUCUCUGAUGCUUCGACGCAGACUGAGGGCCAGAAGGUCCUCUCAUUUGCACCCUUUAUGAUAAUACCGGGUGCUUGGUAGAAGCACGUGCAGAAGCCAUGCUGGUACUCUUGGAUGCCUUAAUAGGGGAGCAGGAAACAUUUGGGAUGUUCCCACCAGGCUUCCUGGGAGCUCUCUGAAACCCUCUGAUGAUGUAUGUGUGGUGAGCCACUGAAGAUCGCCACCAAAGCCACCAUGUCCCUCGCCUUUUCUACUAACAACCUUUUCCUGCUUCCAGCCCUAUCUGGCAUAGCCAGGUAUGUGACCGAAGCACUGGAGAAUGGGAAGCUGCGUUUGCUGAGGGACCAGGUGGAGUCAAUCCUCUAGAAGAACUGGGGCGAUCGGCUUAGCCAGGUUGUGCACUGUGACCCUGAGGCACGGAGCUUCUGUAUCCUAUAUAUUGCUUGCUCUCUCCUGCCAGUUCUGAACCCUAAAAAGUCCGGCUGUGUCUGUUCCUAACCUAAUGUUGGUCUGGAUCCUAUGCAUGGUCUCUGAUUUAAAGUGGCAGAUUGGGAA
Molecule: long non-coding RNA, 1430 nt
Organism: Arvicola amphibius (Eurasian water vole)
Lineage: Eukaryota; Metazoa; Chordata; Mammalia; Rodentia; Cricetidae
Exons: 8
Source: RefSeq, a predicted model, not a curated record